UACGGGGGGAGCAAGCGUUGUUCGGAUUUACUGGGCUUAAAGGGUGCGUAGGCGGCGUAGAAAGUUGGGUGUGAAAUCCCUCAGCUUAACUGAGGAAGGGCGCCCAAAACUACUAUGCUCGAGGGAGAUAGAGGAGUGCGGAACUUAGGGUGGAGCGGUGAAAUGCGUUGAUAUCCUAGGGAACACCGGUGGCGAAAGCGGCACUCUGGAUCUCUUCUGACGCUGAGGCACGAAAGCUAGGGUAGCAAACGGG
Molecule: ribosomal RNA, 253 nt
Filed under: uncultured bacterium
Lineage: Bacteria
Description: partial 16S ribosomal RNA
Rfam family: Bacterial small subunit ribosomal RNA
Source: RNAcentral